UUUCCGUAGGUGAACCUGCGGAAGGAUCAUUAUCGUACAAAAUGUGAGGGGCAUCCGGGGGCUGUCUCUGACUGAAAAGUCGUGCACGCCCGAGUGUGGCCUCUUGCAUAAUAAUCCAGCUCACCCUUUGUGCAUCACCGCGUGGGCACCCUUCGGGAUCAUCUCGGAGGGGGGCUCGCGUUUUCACACAAACCCCCCUUUUAAAAGUGUAAAAUGACCACAUAUAUGCAAUCAAUACAACUUUCAACAACGGAUCUCUUGGCUCUC
RNAcentral lists this unclassified non-coding RNA (267 nucleotides) under plant metagenome. RNAcentral's name for it is "partial contains small subunit ribosomal RNA, internal transcribed spacer 1, and 5.8S ribosomal RNA". The record is from RNAcentral.